AACGAACGCUGGCGGCAUGCCUAACACAUGCAAGUCGAACGAGACCUUCGGGCCUAGUGGCGCACGGGUGCGUAACGCGUGGGAACCUGCCCUUAGGUUCGGAAUAACUCCCCGAAAGGGGUGCUAAUACCGGAUAAUGUCUUCGGACCAAAGAUUUAUCGCCUUUGGAUGGGCCGGGGUUGGAUUAGCUAGUUGGUAGGGUAAAAGCCUACAAAGGGGAGGAUCCAUAGCUGGCCUGAGAGGAGGAUCAGCCACACUGGGACUGAGAGAAGGUCCAGACUCAGGAGGAAGCCAACAGUGGGGAAUAUUGGGCAGUGGGCGGAAACCGAAUCCAGAAAGGGCACGUGUGUGAUGAAGGUCUUCAGAUGGUGAAGCACUUUAGGUUGGGAGGAAGGGCAGUGAGUUAAUGCCUUGCUGUAUUGACGAUACCAACAGAAUAAGCGCCGGCUAGCUUCGUG
RNAcentral lists this ribosomal RNA (458 nucleotides) under uncultured bacterium. Its description in RNAcentral is "partial 16S ribosomal RNA". It matches the Rfam family "Bacterial small subunit ribosomal RNA", at positions 29 to 507 of the family's 1533-position model. The record is from RNAcentral.